UUAAAUUUAGUUUAAUAAAAAAUUUAUUAUUUACAAUAAUAAGAUUUAUCUUGUAAAAUUUAAAUUUAAA
RNAcentral lists this transfer RNA (70 nucleotides) under Venturia canescens. RNAcentral describes it as "tRNA-Val". The record is from RNAcentral. Lineage: Eukaryota; Metazoa; Arthropoda; Insecta; Hymenoptera; Ichneumonidae.